This 2903-nucleotide ribosomal RNA is filed under the name Escherichia coli. RNAcentral describes it as "23S ribosomal RNA". It matches the Rfam family "Bacterial large subunit ribosomal RNA". Lineage: Bacteria; Pseudomonadati; Pseudomonadota; Gammaproteobacteria; Enterobacterales; Enterobacteriaceae. The record is from RNAcentral.
GGUUAAGCGACUAAGCGUACACGGUGGAUGCCCUGGCAGUCAGAGGCGAUGAAGGACGUGCUAAUCUGCGAUAAGCGUCGGUAAGGUGAUAUGAACCGUUAUAACCGGCGAUUUCCGAAUGGGGAAACCCAGUGUGUUUCGACACACUAUCAUUAACUGAAUCCAUAGGUUAAUGAGGCGAACCGGGGGAACUGAAACAUCUAAGUACCCCGAGGAAAAGAAAUCAACCGAGAUUCCCCCAGUAGCGGCGAGCGAACGGGGAGCAGCCCAGAGCCUGAAUCAGUGUGUGUGUUAGUGGAAGCGUCUGGAAAGGCGCGCGAUACAGGGUGACAGCCCCGUACACAAAAAUGCACAUGCUGUGAGCUCGAUGAGUAGGGCGGGACACGUGGUAUCCUGUCUGAAUAUGGGGGGACCAUCCUCCAAGGCUAAAUACUCCUGACUGACCGAUAGUGAACCAGUACCGUGAGGGAAAGGCGAAAAGAACCCCGGCGAGGGGAGUGAAAAAGAACCUGAAACCGUGUACGUACAAGCAGUGGGAGCACGCUUAGGCGUGUGACUGCGUACCUUUUGUAUAAUGGGUCAGCGACUUAUAUUCUGUAGCAAGGUUAACCGAAUAGGGGAGCCGAAGGGAAACCGAGUCUUAACUGGGCGUUAAGUUGCAGGGUAUAGACCCGAAACCCGGUGAUCUAGCCAUGGGCAGGUUGAAGGUUGGGUAACACUAACUGGAGGACCGAACCGACUAAUGUUGAAAAAUUAGCGGAUGACUUGUGGCUGGGGGUGAAAGGCCAAUCAAACCGGGAGAUAGCUGGUUCUCCCCGAAAGCUAUUUAGGUAGCGCCUCGUGAAUUCAUCUCCGGGGGUAGAGCACUGUUUCGGCAAGGGGGUCAUCCCGACUUACCAACCCGAUGCAAACUGCGAAUACCGGAGAAUGUUAUCACGGGAGACACACGGCGGGUGCUAACGUCCGUCGUGAAGAGGGAAACAACCCAGACCGCCAGCUAAGGUCCCAAAGUCAUGGUUAAGUGGGAAACGAUGUGGGAAGGCCCAGACAGCCAGGAUGUUGGCUUAGAAGCAGCCAUCAUUUAAAGAAAGCGUAAUAGCUCACUGGUCGAGUCGGCCUGCGCGGAAGAUGUAACGGGGCUAAACCAUGCACCGAAGCUGCGGCAGCGACACUAUGUGUUGUUGGGUAGGGGAGCGUUCUGUAAGCCUGUGAAGGUGUGCUGUGAGGCAUGCUGGAGGUAUCAGAAGUGCGAAUGCUGACAUAAGUAACGAUAAAGCGGGUGAAAAGCCCGCUCGCCGGAAGACCAAGGGUUCCUGUCCAACGUUAAUCGGGGCAGGGUGAGUCGACCCCUAAGGCGAGGCCGAAAGGCGUAGUCGAUGGGAAACAGGUUAAUAUUCCUGUACUUGGUGUUACUGCGAAGGGGGGACGGAGAAGGCUAUGUUGGCCGGGCGACGGUUGUCCCGGUUUAAGCGUGUAGGCUGGUUUUCCAGGCAAAUCCGGAAAAUCAAGGCUGAGGCGUGAUGACGAGGCACUACGGUGCUGAAGCAACAAAUGCCCUGCUUCCAGGAAAAGCCUCUAAGCAUCAGGUAACAUCAAAUCGUACCCCAAACCGACACAGGUGGUCAGGUAGAGAAUACCAAGGCGCUUGAGAGAACUCGGGUGAAGGAACUAGGCAAAAUGGUGCCGUAACUUCGGGAGAAGGCACGCUGAUAUGUAGGUGAAGUCCCUUGCGGAUGGAGCUGAAAUCAGUCGAAGAUACCAGCUGGCUGCAACUGUUUAUUAAAAACACAGCACUGUGCAAACACGAAAGUGGACGUAUACGGUGUGACGCCUGCCCGGUGCCGGAAGGUUAAUUGAUGGGGUCAGCGCAAGCGAAGCUCUUGAUCGAAGCCCCGGUAAACGGCGGCCGUAACUAUAACGGUCCUAAGGUAGCGAAAUUCCUUGUCGGGUAAGUUCCGACCUGCACGAAUGGCGUAAUGAUGGCCAGGCUGUCUCCACCCGAGACUCAGUGAAAUUGAACUCGCUGUGAAGAUGCAGUGUACCCGCGGCAAGACGGAAAGACCCCGUGAACCUUUACUAUAGCUUGACACUGAACAUUGAGCCUUGAUGUGUAGGAUAGGUGGGAGGCUUGGAAGUGUGGACGCCAGUCUGCAUGGAGCCGACCUUGAAAUACCACCCUUUAAUGUUUGAUGUUCUAACGUUGACCCGUAAUCCGGGUUGCGGACAGUGUCUGGUGGGUAGUUUGACUGGGGCGGUCUCCUCCUAAAGAGUAACGGAGGAGCACGAAGGUUGGCUAAUCCUGGUCGGACAUCAGGAGGUUAGUGCAAUGGCAUAAGCCAGCUUGACUGCGAGCGUGACGGCGCGAGCAGGUGCGAAAGCAGGUCAUAGUGAUCCGGUGGUUCUGAAUGGAAGGGCCAUCGCUCAACGGAUAAAAGGUACUCCGGGGAUAACAGGCUGAUACCGCCCAAGAGUUCAUAUCGACGGCGGUGUUUGGCACCUCGAUGUCGGCUCAUCACAUCCUGGGGCUGAAGUAGGUCCCAAGGGUAUGGCUGUUCGCCAUUUAAAGUGGUACGCGAGCUGGGUUUAGAACGUCGUGAGACAGUUCGGUCCCUAUCUGCCGUGGGCGCUGGAGAACUGAGGGGGGCUGCUCCUAGUACGAGAGGACCGGAGUGGACGCAUCACUGGUGUUCGGGUUGUCAUGCCAAUGGCACUGCCCGGUAGCUAAAUGCGGAAGAGAUAAGUGCUGAAAGCAUCUAAGCACGAAACUUGCCCCGAGAUGAGUUCUCCCUGACCCUUUAAGGGUCCUGAAGGAACGUUGAAGACGACGACGUUGAUAGGCCGGGUGUGUAAGCGCAGCGAUGCGUUGAGCUAACCGGUACUAAUGAACCGUGAGGCUUAACCUU